RNAcentral lists this ribosomal RNA (600 nucleotides) under uncultured Bacteroidota bacterium. RNAcentral describes it as "bacterial SSU rRNA". It matches the Rfam family "Bacterial small subunit ribosomal RNA", at positions 8 to 610 of the family's 1533-position model. The record is from RNAcentral. Lineage: Bacteria; Pseudomonadati; Bacteroidota.
AGAGUUGUAUCCUGGCUCAGAUUGAACGCUGGCGGCAUGCCUUACACAUGCAAGUCGAACGGUAACAGGCCGCAAGGUGCUGACGAGUGGCGGACGGGUGAGUAAUGCAUCGGAACGUGCCCAGUCGUGGGGGAUAACUGCUCGAAAGAGCAGCUAAUACCGCAUACGACCUGAGGGUGAAAGCGGGGGACCGUAAGGCCUCGCGCGAUUGGAGCGGCCGAUGUCAGAUUAGCUAGUUGGUGGGGUAAAGGCCCACCAAGGCAACGAUCUGUAGUUGGUCUGAGAGGACGACCAGCCACACUGGUACUGAGACACGGACCAGACUCCUACGGGAGGCAGCAGUGAGGAAUAUUGGACAAUGGGCGCAAGCCUGAUCCAGCCAUGCCGCGUGCAGGAUGAAGCAUCUAUGGUGUGUAAACUGCUUUUGUACGAGAAGAAACACUCCUUCGUGACGGGGCUUGACGGUAUCGUAAGAAUAAGGAUCGGCUAACUCCGUGCCAGCAGCCGCGGUAAUACGGAGGAUCCAAGCGUUAUCCGGAAUCAUUGGGUUUAAAGGGUCCGUAGGCGGGCCAGUAAGUCAGUGGUGAAAUCUCCCGGCUC